UACCUGGUUGAUCCUGCCAGUAAUCAUAUGCUUGUCUCAAAGAUUAAGCCAUGCAUGUCUAAGUACAUGCCGAAAUAAGGCGAAACCGCGAAUGGCUCAUUAAAUCAGUUAUGGUUCCUUAGAUCGUUUCUUCCUACUUGGAUAACUGUGGCAAUUCUAGAGCUAAUACAUGCAGUGAGCCUGAAGCCCUUUGGGCGACGGGUGCUUUUAUUAGACCAAGAUCGAUCGGGUUUCGGCCCGUAUUGUGUGGUGACUCUGGAUAACUUUGUGCUGAUCGCAUGGCCACGAGCCGGCGACGUUUCUUUCAAGUGUCUGCCUUAUCAACUUUCGAUGGUAGGUUACUUGCUUACCAUGGUUGUUACGGGUAACGGAGAAUCAGGGUUCGAUUCCGGAGAGGGAGCCUGAGAAACGGCUACCACAUCCAAGGAAGGCAGCAGGCGCGCAAAUUACCCACUCCCGGCACGGGGAGGUAGUGACGAAAAAUAACAAUACGGGACUUUUUUGAGGCCCCGUAAUUGAAAUGAGUACACUCUAAAUCCUUUAACGAGGAUCAAUUGGAGGGCAAGUCUGGUGCCAGCAGCCGCGGUAAUUCCAGCUCCAAUAGCGUAUACUAAAGCUGCUGCGGUUAAAAAGCUCGUAGUUGGAUCUCAGUUCCAGACGAGUAGUGCAUCUACCCGAUGCGACGGCUCGGACUGAACAUCAUGCCGGUCCUUUCUUGGUGCACUUCAUUGUGUGCCUCGAGAAGGCCGGUGCUUUUACUUUGAAAAAAUUAGAGUGCUCAACGCAGGCGAGUCGCCUGAAUAAACUUGCAUGGAAUAAUAGAACAAGACCUCGUUUCUGUUCUGUUGGUUUUUGGAAUACGAGGUAAUGAUUAAGAGGGACAGACGGGGGCAUUCGUAUUGCGGCGCUAGAGGUGAAAUUCUUGGACCGUCGCAAGACGAACUACUGCGAAAGCAUUUGCCAAGAAUGUUUUCUUUGAUCAAGAACGAAAGUCAGAGGUUCGAAGGCGAUCAGAUACCGCCCUAGUUCUGACCAUAAACGAUGCCAACCAGCGAUCCGCCUGAGUUACUCAAAUGACUCGGCGGGCAGCUUCCGGGAAACCAAAGUGUUUGGGUUCCAGGGGAAGUAUUGUUGCAAAGCUGAAACUUAAAGGAAUUGACGGAAGGGCACCACCAGGAGUGGAGCCUGCGGCUUAAUUUGACUCAACACGGGAAAACUUACCCGGCCCGGACACUGGGAGGAUUGACAGAUUGAGAGCUCUUUCUUGAUUCGGUGGAUGGUGGUGCAUGGCCGUUCUUAGUUGGUGGAGCGAUUUGUCUGGUUAAUUCCGAUAACGAACGAGACUCUAGCCUAUUAAAUAGGUGCGGGGUUCCCAGCACCUUACAACCUUCUUAGAGGGACAAGCGGCUCCUAGCCGCACGAAACAGAGCAAUAACAGGUCUGUGAUGCCCUUAGAUGUCCGGGGCCGCACGCGCGCUACACUGAAGGAAGCAGCGUGUCUUUAUCCCUGUCUGAAAAGACUGGGUAACCCGUGGAACUUCUUUCGUGAUUGGGAUAGGGGCUUGCAAUUGUUCCCCUUGAACGAGGAAUUCCCAGUAAGCGCGAGUCAUAAGCUCGCGUUGAUUACGUCCCUGCCCUUUGUACACACCGCCCGUCGCUACUACCGAUUGAAUGAUUUAGUGAGGUGUUCGGACCGAUGUCCGGCGCGGCCUUUCGGUUGCGCCGGUCUGUUGGAAAGAUGACCAAACUUGAUCAUUUAGAGGAAGUAAAAGUCGUAACAAGGUUUCCGUAGGUGAACCUGCGGAAGGAUCAUUA
This 1815-nucleotide ribosomal RNA is filed under the name Dermacentor andersoni. RNAcentral describes it as "small subunit ribosomal RNA". It matches the Rfam family "Eukaryotic small subunit ribosomal RNA". Lineage: Eukaryota; Metazoa; Arthropoda; Arachnida; Ixodida; Ixodidae. The record is from RNAcentral.